Molecule: ribosomal RNA, 482 nt
Filed under: uncultured bacterium
Lineage: Bacteria
Description: partial 16S ribosomal RNA
Rfam family: Bacterial small subunit ribosomal RNA
Source: RNAcentral
AUUGAACGCUGGCGGCAUGCUUUACACAUGCAAGUCGAACGGUAACAGGCCGCACGGUGCUGACGGGUGGCGAACGGGGGAGUAAUGCAACCGAACGUGCCCAGUCGCGGGGGAUAACUACUCGAAAGGGUAGCUAAUACCGCAUACGAUCUAUGGAUGAAAGCGGGGGACCGUAAGGCCUCGCGCGAUUGUAGCGGUCGAUUUCAGAUUAGGUAGUUGGUGGGGUAAAGGCUCACCAAGGCAACGAUCUGUAGCUGGUCUGAGAGGACGAGCAGCCACACUGGAACUGAGACACGGCCCAGACUCCUACGGGAGGCAGCAGUGGGGAAUUUUGGACAAUGGGCGAAAGCCUGAUCCAGCAAUGCCGCGUGCAGGAAGAAGGCCUUCGGGUUGUAAACUGCUUUUGUACGGAACGAAACGGCUCUGGUUAAUACCCGGGGCUAAUGACGGUACCGUAAGAAUAAGCACCGGCUAACUACGUG